RNAcentral lists this ribosomal RNA (570 nucleotides) under Rhodotorula mucilaginosa. Its description in RNAcentral is "partial large subunit ribosomal RNA". It matches the Rfam family "Eukaryotic large subunit ribosomal RNA", at positions 29 to 595 of the family's 3401-position model. Lineage: Eukaryota; Fungi; Basidiomycota; Microbotryomycetes; Sporidiobolales; Sporidiobolaceae. The record is from RNAcentral.
UGAACUUAAGCAUAUCAAUAAGCGGAGGAAAAGAAACUAACAAGGAUUCCCCUAGUAGCGGCGAGCGAAGCGGGAAGAGCUCAAAUUUAUAAUCUGGCACCUUCGGUGUCCGAGUUGUAAUCUCUAGAAAUGUUUUCCGCGUUGGACCGCACACAAGUCUGUUGGAAUACAGCGGCAUAGUGGUGAGACCCCCGUAUAUGGUGCGGACGCCCAGCGCUUUGUGAUACAUUUUCGAAGAGUCGAGUUGUUUGGGAAUGCAGCUCAAAUUGGGUGGUAAAUUCCAUCUAAAGCUAAAUAUUGGCGAGAGACCGAUAGCGAACAAGUACCGUGAGGGAAAGAUGAAAAGCACUUUGGAAAGAGAGUUAACAGUACGUGAAAUUGUUGGAAGGGAAACGCUUGAAGUCAGACUUGCUUGCCGAGCAAUCGGUUUGCAGGCCAGCAUCAGUUUUCCGGGAUGGAUAAUGGUAGAGAGAAGGUAGCAGUUUCGGCUGUGUUAUAGCUCUCUGCUGGAUACAUCUUGGGGGACUGAGGAACGCAGUGUGCCUUUGGCGGGGGUUUCGACACUCUGCA